GCCGACUGAGCAGUUUGGUUUAUCGCGCUAUCCGUACCCGCCACCAUGGAAACCAAAACAAACCGGAAACGGCUCAACUGUCAGAUCGCACACUGUGAAAGAAAAACUCAGUAUACGGAAGAUGUCAGUUCCAUUGUCAAAUACAAACCUUCGUAUCCCACGUGGCUUUGCAAAUCUUCUCGAAGGGUUAACCCGUGAAAUUUUAAGAGAGCAGCCAAAGGAUAUCCCUGUGUUUGGCGCCAAGUACUUUGAAACACUCUUAAAACAAAGACAAGAGUCUAACUACGACCCAGCUGAAUUGGGAGCGUCACUAGAUGACAGGUUCUACAACAACCACGUCUUUAAG
Pelobates fuscus (common spadefoot toad) is the source of this 346-nucleotide long non-coding RNA. RefSeq lists it as uncharacterized. The record is from RefSeq and is a predicted model, not a curated record. The transcript is spliced from 3 exons. NCBI's taxonomy places the organism in Eukaryota, Metazoa, Chordata, Amphibia, Anura, Pelobatidae.